RNA transcript from Nyctereutes procyonoides (raccoon dog), 4184 nucleotides. It is a transcript of the gene named Bardet-Biedl syndrome 10, with no coding region annotated. The transcript is spliced from 6 exons. The record is from RefSeq and is a predicted model, not a curated record. Lineage: Eukaryota; Metazoa; Chordata; Mammalia; Carnivora; Canidae.
GCCUCCUUCCAGGGGGUGCCCCCGCCGCCGGCCCUGCGUGCGAUGGCCGCGGCGGGCUCUUCGGAGGCGGCGCUGCAGGUGGCGGAGGCGCUGGAGACCAUCGUGAGCCGCUGCUUGGGGCCCGAGGGGCGGCAGGUUCUGUGUACGAAGCCCACCGGCGAGGUGCUGCUGAGCCGGGACGGAGGCCGCCUCCUGGGGGCGCUACACCUAGAGCACCCCGCAGCCAGGUUGGUGGUGGCCUAUGUUUCCAGUCAUCUAAGAAAAACAGGAGAUGGUGCUAAGACGUUCGUUGUCUUCCUUUGUCAUUUACUUCGAGGACUUCACGCAAUGACGGACGGAAAACAGGAUUCUUUGGCCUCCAAACACAUGCAGACCCAUAGAAGACGUUGGAAAAAUUGUUGUCGGUGGAAAUUGAUUUCGCAGUCUCUUCUAACGUUUCAGACACACAGAUUAGAUUAUAUUGUGGACCGUUACCUAAGCAGACACUUUGGGUCCAUCUUUUCUUCCUCCACUAAAGAGAGAACGCUGUGUAGGAGCUCUCUAGAGUCGCUCUUAGCAGCGUACUUUGGUGGGAGAGUGGGGAGAAAUAAUCGUGACUUUAUGUCACGGUUGACGUGUGACUACUUUUUCAAAUGUAUGGCCCGUGAACGCGGGUCCGAAGAAGUGUUGGACCUGGUGGAUGAUUAUUUUCUAGAGCUGAGUGCUGGUGUCACCGGCCUCCCCGUCUCCGAUUCCAGGAUCACGCCCGGGCUUGUGCUUCCUAGAGACUUUUCCGUAUACCGUCCAGCAGAUGGUGACAUAAGAAUAGUGAUAGUAACGGAGACCGUUCAGCCUCUCUUUUCCACUUCUGGAUCAGAGUUUAUUUUGCGUUCGGAAGCACAGUUUCAGACAUCUCGGUUUUGGAUUAUGGAAAGAACGAAAGCAAUAAUGAAACAUUUACAGAGUCAGAAUAUAAAAUUGCUCCUGUCUAGUGUGAAGCAACCGGACUCAGUUAUUUAUUACGCAGGACUGGCCGGCAUAUCGGUGGUGGAGUGUUUAUCCCCUGAAGAAGUCUCUCUCAUCCAGAGGAUCACUGGUCUCUCUCCCUUGGCACUGCCACAUGCCACUUCACAGGAUGAAAUCUGUAACACUGUUUUGGUGAAAUUCUGUAAGCCUCUUACCUUUAGAUCCAAAAGGAUGGAGGCGGGAUCACUGACAAGAGAGGGAGAGCUAGCUCUCUGGUUUACAACUGUAGAGCUUCCCGUGGCCCAGCAACAUUCCUGCUUGCAGCUGCCAGGAGACGGCAACAUCAAUUAGCUGAAAGAAUCCAAUGCUCCUGAGGAGGGAGCUAGUGACAAGGCUUCAAUAAAGCCAGACAGUGAAGUUGUUCUGGCAGAGACUCUAGAGUUCAGUCAACUGAGCCUCCAUGAGCAUGGCCCUUUAUGUACCAUUCUCCCAGAAACUCCUCCAGGCUGCAGCUUCUCCCGGGAUCCAGAAAGCAACCCCGAGAACCCGUCACAGGAACCCACCUGCGAGGACAGUGCCAUCGCAGCCGAUGACCUUGUACCAGGUAAGUGUCCUUAGGAGGUGGCGGUGUGCCUGGGGACCUGUGCUGGGCCCCCUGUGCUGGGCCCUGCCUGCACCUGCUGUGCUCUGGGCCCUCUGGCCGAGCUGCUGGGGUGGCAGGUGACCUCGGGCUGGGUCUGGAAACAGCGGCCGUGUCCUGUCGCCCCAGGUUCCCUUGGGUCAGGGGCCCGGGAGGCCUUAGCUGGAUGGUUCUGGCUUGGGGCCUUUGUGAGGGGCCGCUGCCUGGGGCUGAAGGAUGCGGUCCCCUCACUGACCUGGGCAGCAGCCCCGGCCCGGGCCUGGGCCCCUCCGGGGGCUUCUCAGGUGUCUGCGGGCCGCCCCCGACCCCAUGACCCCUGUGUGCUUGGCUCUUGCUUGGGGGGCAAGACUGCACAGCUGGAGACGACCAUCCCAUCUGGGCCGGCCACAGCGAUGCUGACUCGCCGCGGCCUCAGCGGGGGCACCUGGGGCGCUGCGGGCCGCGUCUCUGUGCACCUGCCACCGUGCAGCGAGCUCCGGGGCUGCGGUCGCCGCCUGAGGCCCAGGAGGAAGCCGCACCAACCCGCAUCCUGGUCAGGGGCUGGUUGGGGGGUGCCACACCCGGUGCUCGCGGGCUGCAGGAGGUGGGCCUCCCUGCAGGCGCUCGGAGGGGGCAGCGCGUCAGAAGGGCACCCCCAGGCUGUGCAGCAGGUGCCCGGGAACCAGACGCGCGUUGUCUCCGCUGCUCAAAGGCACGUGCUCCAGGGGGAAGCGAGGGAAAGCCUCAGGGGUAACAAACCCAGUUGCUCUAAUGGACGUGCUGGCCUUGUGGCCGCUCCGUUUUCAUCCUGCAAAGACAUUGCUGUGUGAAAGCCAAUGAAGCUCCGCACUGAGGCUUAAUACUGGAAUUUAAGAGACGCCUUGUUGCAAAACUGACGGCGGGUAUGAAGCCAAGCAGGUGUCCCUGUUACUGGUCCCCCGGGCUGAGCCCCCUGCCAGUUGCUCUGGCUGCUGCAACAGAGUCCGAGCCCCGACCGGCUGGGACCUCAGGCUCAAGUGUGCUCACCUGGUCCCGGAGGCCUGAGGCCUGACAUCAGGGCUCAGUAGGGCAGCACUACCUCUGUGGCCCCAGGGAAGACCCUGUCCCUGCCCCUUGCAGCUUCAGGUGGCUCCAGGGCUCCCCUGGCCCAUGGCCACAGCACUCCAAUCUUGGGCUCCACGGUCACAUUGUUGCCACCUCUCCUGUCAAAUCUCUCUCUGCCUCAUUUGCAUAAGGACACUUGCCAUUGGAUUAUUUAGAGCCCAUGUGGAUAAUCCUGGAUGAGCACCUUCUUGAAAGAUCCUUAGAGGAAUCACAUCAUUUGCCAUGUCAGGUAACACAUCCUCCCUCCCCCUCCCCCCCAUAUAGGGUAACACUAGCAGGUUCGGGAGAUUAGAAGGCGGACAAAUUUUUUUUUUAAGAUUUUAUUUAUUUAGAGAGCAUGAGCAGGGGAGGGCCAAAGGGACAGUGAGAAGCAGGCUCCCCCCAAGAGGGAGCCCAACAUGGGGCUGGAUCUCAGGACCCUGGGAUCAUGACCCGAGCCAAAAGCAGGUGCUAAAGUGACUGAGCCACCCAGCCAUCCCCGAGUGUGCACAGAGCUUUUUGGUUCAGUUUACCGCGACCACCCGGUCCCCAAAGGCUCUGGCACAGCAGUGUUUACGGUGGCGUAAGUUGAACUGAGGGGUCAGGUACACACACAUAACGGCAGAGAUUGUGAGCACGUAGCUGGGGGACAGUUACGCAGGGUUCACACCCAGCCUGUAGGACUCCAGAGUUCAUGCUUUUAAAUCACUAGUCAGUAUUGUCACCUUCUUGCCCUUUUAUGUGUGAACUGUCAUCGUCAAUAUGUUCAAAGUCAGCAGUUACGGAAAGGAAGCCCGGGCUAUGGGGGCGCCAGCAGGCCCGGCCUCGGUUUGGCGUUUUUUUUUUUUUUUUCUUUAAAGAUUUUAUUUAUUUACUCAUGAGAGACAGAGAGAGGCAGAGACACAGGCAGAGAGAGAAGCAGGCUCCAUGCAGGAAGCCCGACGUGGGACUCGAUCCCGAGACUUCAGGACCACGCCCUGGGCCGAAAGCAGGAACCAAACCACUGAGCCAUCCAGGGAUCCCUGGUUUGGCGGGGUUUGCACAACUAAGAAGCCCUGGUCGCCACCACUCGCAGAGGAGACUCCGCCGCCCCUCCCCCAGCCCCCAACUGCAGGCGAGUAGCCAGGAGGCUAAUUCAUUCUUGCUGCCUCUUUUCAAUUCGCAGUUCAGUGUCAGCGUCUCAGUCUGGCAGGUAAAGGUGACCCUGGCCGUCAUCUGCCUUCCUGGACUCCCAGUGGAAAAGCGACAGAACCCAAAGUCACCGUGGAAGUGGGACCCACGGCGGUAGGACACUGGCACCUGCCCACCCGGCCGCGUGAGAAUCGUGAAGUGACAACACCUCUGGAGGCCUCGAUUUCUCUGUCGCUCUCAACACUAGAGUUCUGGCCCUGCUCCUCUUGCUGAGUCAACAAGAAUGUCUUCAUGGAAAUGAAAAUGAGGAGAUGAGUAAGAGAUGCUGAGAUGCCAGCAGCCGGACCACAACUGGUGAGAAGCCAGCCCGGGAGAGGGAAUUAACAUGGGAACAGGUGCAGGCGGG